UAUAGGUUGCCGCCUUUCCGGUGUGGCGGGUUAUAGAUCGAUUAUUAUCUCCAAAACUCAAUUCAAUUCAAAAUCACACAGAGUCAUGGGUAAUAUCUCUGACUCCCUAUGCACUGGAUUUUGAUGGAGUGGUCUGCGACAGCUACGAAGAGAGCUCCCUCUCAGCUUUCAAGGUUUUGCUGAACUGAGAUCAUAUCGGCGUCUUGCCAGUUCACUCGCAUUUCCGACCACUCGAUUUUGCUUUCGAUGUUGUCAAUUUUUUAUGGGGUUUGGUAUAGUUAUAUUGCACGAAAGCGAUUUUAAUUUUUCCCCCAGUUAUCGAAUUAUCUGCUUCUGUGGAAAUUGAAUAUAUAUCUAGUAUGUUUUUUUUGUGUGUGAGUGUUCUCUUUCAAAUUUUCGAAUACUCCUUGUUUUUAUUAUGUCUGUUUAAGGCUGCUAAAGUAUGAUGGCCAAAUGAAUCAGUUUGAAUAGUUGAUCAGAUGCAACACAGUAAUUAUUUCUUCCCUGUUUUCUUUAUGAAUAAGUUUGAAUAUUGUUCGAGCUCUUUUUAUCUUCGAUUGUUUAAAUUUGAAAUGCCCCAUUUAUAAUAGUAUUAUUCAAAUUUUGAUAACAGGAAUUCAUGAAAAUGGUAGUGUCUGUUUCAUGUAGGAAAUAAUGAAGUUCAAUAAGAGGAGAUUGUGCCUUCUUACCUGACACCUAGCACUAUAUAUCUGCUUAAGGUUGCAGAGGGACUCACGGAUGCCGGAAUGAUGGAGAACUGGAUGACUAUAAAACCCGUGAUCAUGGCAGAAUGGGAUGGGAGUGACAGAUUUUUGGGAAGAGGUGUUCCAGAUGUCUUGAAGUGUUCUAAUUCCAAACUCUAGAUCGUCAUAACGAAGCAGAUGCUCUGCUUCAAGAGCUUGCUAGAGUUACUAGGAAUCUAUGGGUUGGGAACUGGGGGAUUAGGGUUAUAACACUCAAAAUGAGCGAGAUGAGGCUGCAAGAAUCUCCAGGAUUCGACUUCUUCAGCUGUCAGACUUCAGCAAUAAGCACAAGUGAUUCUGAUCUGAUCUUCUUUGGGUGGAACAACAAGAAUAUUCAGCCAUCUAGUGAUUCUGUUGUUAAAGCUCGUCAUUGGCCGUAUCAUCAGAGGUUUCAGCCUUGUCCAUUUGGAGCUUGCGAAAAACUUCAUCGAACGUAGGAUCCCCCGGUCUUCUGAAG
Salvia splendens (bonfire salvia) is the source of this 1200-nucleotide long non-coding RNA. RefSeq lists it as uncharacterized. NCBI's taxonomy places the organism in Eukaryota, Viridiplantae, Streptophyta, Magnoliopsida, Lamiales, Lamiaceae. The record is from RefSeq and is a predicted model, not a curated record. The transcript is spliced from 5 exons.